Molecule: ribosomal RNA, 468 nt
Filed under: uncultured bacterium
Lineage: Bacteria
Description: partial 16S ribosomal RNA
Rfam family: Bacterial small subunit ribosomal RNA
Source: RNAcentral
GACGAACGCUGGCGGCGUGCUUAACACAUGCAAGUCGAACGGAAAGGCCCUGCUUUUGUGGGGUGCUCGAGUGGCGAACGGGUGAGUAACACGUGAGUAACCUGCCCUUGACUUUGGGAUAACUUCAGGAAACUGGGGCUAAUACCGGAUAGGAGCUCCUGCUGCAUGGUGGGGGUUGGAAAGUUUCGGCGGUUGGGGAUGGACUCGCGGCUUAUCAGCUUGUUGGUGGGGUAGUGGCUUACCAAGGCUUUGACGGGUAGCCGGCCUGAGAGGGUGACCGGCCACAUUGGGACUGAGAUACGGCGCAGACUCCUACGGGGGGCAGCAGUGGGGAAUAUUGCACAAUGGGCGGAAGCCUGAUGCAGCAGCGCCGCGUGCGGGAUGACGGCCUUCGGGUUGUAAACCGCUUUAGCCUGUGACGAAGCGUGAGUGACGGUAAUGGGUAAAGAAGCACCGGCUAACUACGUG